GACGAACGCUGGCGGCGUGCCUAAUACAUGCAAGUUGAGCGCUGAAGGUUGGUACUUGUACCGACUGGAUGAGCAGCGAACGGGUGAGUAACGCGUGGGGAAUCUGCCUUUGAUCGGGGACAACAUUUGGAAACGAAUGCUAAUACCGCAUAAAAACUUUAAACCCAAGUUUUAAGUUUUAAAGAUGCAAUUGCAUCACUCAAAGAUGAUCCCGCGUUGUAUUAGCUAGUUGGUGAGGUAAAGGCUCACCAAGGCGAUGAUACAUAGCCGACCUGAGAGGGUGAUCGGCCACAUUGGGAGUGAGACACGGCACAAACUCCUACGGGAGGCAGCAGUAGGGAAUCUUCGGCAAUGGACGAAAGUCUGACCGAGAAACGCCGCGUGAGUGAAGAAGGUUUUCGGAUCGUAAAACUCGGUUGGUAGAGAAGAACGUUGGUGAGAGUGGAAAGCUCAUCAAGUGACGGUAACUACCCAGAAAGGGACGGCUAACUACGUG
This 496-nucleotide ribosomal RNA is filed under the name uncultured bacterium. RNAcentral describes it as "partial 16S ribosomal RNA". It matches the Rfam family "Bacterial small subunit ribosomal RNA", at positions 28 to 507 of the family's 1533-position model. The record is from RNAcentral.